This 2285-nucleotide long non-coding RNA is filed under the name Homo sapiens (human). RNAcentral describes it as "HSALNT0082852". The record is from RNAcentral. Lineage: Eukaryota; Metazoa; Chordata; Mammalia; Primates; Hominidae.
GGCUGAGGCCGGGCGUGUUCCCGCGGUGUCCCGGGCUGAGGCCGGGCGUGUUCCCGCGGUGUCCCGGGCUGAGGCUGGGCGUAUUCUUCCGGUGUUUCUCACAUUCUUGUUUGGGAAACUAUAACGCGCUGCUCAAAGAUCAUCUUAAUUCUGAAAUACCCAAAAUCAAAACGCAAGAUAGUGAAGGCUAUAAAACUCUCACCGUAUAAAGAUUAACUGAUGUAAUAGAGGCUUUCCAUUUAUCUAUUCAAAACAGAUUACUUGCACAUCUGUUAGAUGCCAGGUCAUGGACUCACCUACCUCAUUUAUGCAGUGCAUGGUAUCUUGAGAUACUAAUACUUUGUCCUCCCUGGAUUUUUUCUUCUCCCCAGUGUAGCAGAGUGGGGCAUGGGCUAUGGAGUCAGCCCGCUAUGGCAUGUUCUACCACUAUACCCUCUCCAGCUAUUUCACCUGAAUGUUACUUAAUCUCUUCCUGCUUGAAUUUCCUCAUCUAUAAAAUGAAAAUCAUAUCAGUGAGCAUUAAAGACUUAAGACAUAGAAAGCAUUUAGAAAAGUGACAUCACAGACCUCAGUGCGACUCAUUAUGAUUUGCUAUUAUUAUUCUCUUCUUAGCCCUGAUUCAAACUGAUAGCACUUUCUUGUCUUGGAGAAAGUGUAUGACAGAGGAGAAAGCGGAAGUGUUUAGGAAAGUCACUCUGAGAAGGUGCCCUGUUUGAAACUGACCUCUGAGGCCAUCUUCCUGCCUGUGGAGAACAGCCCUGAUCCACAUUUGGUUUUCGGAUGUUUGUGAAUGGAUAAAAGUAGUUUGGUCCCUGUUGCCUCAGGGUGUUUUAAAACCGAAAUGGAAUAUAUCAAAGCAGUCAACCACAAACACAUACACCUGUGCCCUCAGAAGAGGCACAUGGAGCUAAGUGAUGACCCUACGCCAUGCAGAUACCUGGGAACGUGGCAUGAUUUCAGUAUCCAUGCUGCAGGAUCAUACACCAGGGAAUGCAUACGAUCCAAGAAGACAUUCUCUUCAGUAGCAAAUUCAUCAUGGUCAGAGGUUCUUUUAGGAUUGUCCGUAGUUGAUUGCAAAUUUGAGAAUAUGGAAUGAAGAUAAUAUGUACCGUACACAACUUAUGGGAAAUGUAAACCCACAACAUGGUACAUUUGCUGUGAAGUCGGUCUGGAUCACUUUCAAGGACUCAGAGAAUAUAUCCCACAGAACAAGACCGAAAAAAAAUGGUGAUUCUCCAAAGGCCACCAGUGAAGCAGUGAUGGAAGUUUGUAGAUAUCACCCCAAACACACUUAGGCUCCAGGAGGCCACCUCAACAAAUCCUGUGUUCAGUUUGGAGAUGGAGACUUUCUUCACCAUCCUGACUUGCUCAGUGCGACCUUGGGAAAAGAGAAGGAUGCAGCUGAGCUGCUGGUCCUGAGGUGCCUCAACUGCCUGGCCACUGCAUGCAAGGAUGCGGCUGAGCUGCUGGUCCUGAGGUCCCUCACCUGCCUGGCCACUGCAUGCAAGGAUGCGGCUGAGCUGCUGGUCCUGAGGUCCCUCACCUGCCUGGCCACUGCAUGCAAGGAUGCGGCUGAGCUGCUGGUCCUGAGGUCCCUCACCUGCCUGGCCACUGCAUGCAAGGAUGCGGCUGAGCUGCUGGUCCUGAGGUCCCUCACCUGCCUGGCCACUGCAUGCAAGGAUGCGGCUGAGCUGCUGGUCCUGAGGUCCCUCACCUGCCUGGCCACUGCAUGCAAGGAUGCGGCUGAGCUGCUGGUCCUGAGGUCCCUCACCUGCCUGGCCACUGCAUGCAAGGAUGCGGCUGAGCUGCUGGUCCUGAGGUCCCUCACCUGCCUGGCCACUGCAUUCCUCCCGCUGCCUCCCUUGUCUCUGUGGACCCGUCAGACUGCUGCCUCUGCUGAUUAGUGACACAAGACCAACAGUGGUUCUGGAGAGACAAACUACCAAAUUACACAGAUUUAGCACAUACGUGUGGAAAACAAAAAAUUCAGGGCAGAGUUUGGUUUAGGCAGACUUUUGUUAAACAAAUACAGUCAAAUCUGUUUCGGAUGAUUAUCUACAGAGUUGGACGCCAUGAGAAAGUCAAUCCUUUCAUAAAAAACAUGACUCAAAAGCUCAUUAACUAUUUUGGAAAAGAAAAACUCAGUAAACUCAUAAACUUUAAUGAAAAAAUUAACAUAUUAGGUUUUUUUAAUUUAAUAAUAUAAUGUCCCUGAAGUUCCAUGAUAUUUCUGAAGAAAUUGCCUUGUAUGAAGUCACACUGUUGGGGCUCAAGCUAAAAGCCAU